AGCAGUCUUUGUAGACAAUACGAGGGGCUGGCGACCGGCAAACGGGUGCGGAACACGUACGCAACCUUUCCUUUAACUGGAAGAUAGCCCACCGAAAGGUGGAUUAUACUCCAUAACAUAUUGAAGAGGCAUCUCUUUGAUAUUAAAGCUCCGGCGGUUAAAGAUGGGCGUGCGUCUGAUUAGGUAGUUGGCGGGGUAACGGCCCACCAAGCCUUCGAUCAGUAGCUGAUGUGAGAGCAUGAUCAGCCACACGGGCACUGAGACACGGGCCCGACUCCUACGGGAGGCAGCAGUAAGGAAUAUUGGUCAAUGGACGCAAGUCUGAACCAGCCAUGCCGCGUGGAGGAUGAAGGCCCUCUGGGUUGUAAACUUCUUUUCUUUGGGACGAAACCCCUGUUUCUACGGGGACUGACGGUACCAGAGGAAUAAGCACCGGCUAACUCCGUG
RNAcentral lists this ribosomal RNA (447 nucleotides) under uncultured bacterium. RNAcentral's name for it is "bacterial SSU rRNA". It matches the Rfam family "Bacterial small subunit ribosomal RNA", at positions 68 to 507 of the family's 1533-position model. The record is from RNAcentral.